Molecule: non-coding RNA, 239 nt
Organism: Gorilla gorilla gorilla (western lowland gorilla)
Lineage: Eukaryota; Metazoa; Chordata; Mammalia; Primates; Hominidae
Rfam family: Metazoan signal recognition particle RNA
About the family: The signal recognition particle (SRP) is a universally conserved ribonucleoprotein. It is involved in the co-translational targeting of proteins to membranes.
Source: Rfam
GCUGGGAGCAGUGGCUCAUGCCUGUAAUCCCAGCACUUUGGGAGGCCAAGGCGGGUGGAUCACUUGAGGUUGGGAGUUCGAGACCAACCUGGCCAACAUGGUGAAACCCCGUCGCUACUAAAAAUACAAACAUUAGCCNNNNNNNNNNGGCUAAUGUUUGUAUUUUUAGUAGCGACGGGGUUUCACCAUGUUGGCCAGGUUGGUCUCGAACUCCCAACCUCAAGUGAUCCACCCGCCUU